AUGCAUGUCUAAGUUCACACCCUCGUACGGUGAAACCGCGAAUGGCUCAUUAAAUCAGUCGAGGUUCCUUAGAUGAUCCAAAUUUACUUGGAUAACUGUGGUAAUUCUAGAGCUAAUACAUGCCAACCAGCUUCGACCCGUCCCUUCUGGGGUCGGGAAAGAGCGCUUUUAUUAGUUCAAAACCAGUCGGGUUCUCACAAGGAGCUCGUCCGUUGGUGACUCUGGAUAACUUUUUGCCGAUCGCAUGGCCUCGAGCCGGCGACGCAUCUUUCAAAUGUCUGCCCUAUCAAAUGACGAUGGUACGUGAUCUGCCUACCAUGUUGGCAACGGGUAGCGGGGAAUCAGGGUUCGAUUCCGGAGAGGGAGCAUGAGAAACGGCUACCACA
This 386-nucleotide ribosomal RNA is filed under the name Gastropoda sp. USNM IZ 1448104. RNAcentral describes it as "SSU rRNA". It matches the Rfam family "Eukaryotic small subunit ribosomal RNA", at positions 51 to 414 of the family's 1831-position model. Lineage: Eukaryota; Metazoa; Mollusca; Gastropoda. The record is from RNAcentral.